This is a long non-coding RNA of Solea senegalensis (Senegalese sole), 3305 nucleotides long. RefSeq lists it as uncharacterized. The transcript has 3 exons. The record is from RefSeq and is a predicted model, not a curated record. NCBI's taxonomy places the organism in Eukaryota, Metazoa, Chordata, Actinopteri, Pleuronectiformes, Soleidae.
CCCCACACAUGCAGUACACAUACACAGACACAGAGAGAUGCAUGACCGCCACAUUUGAACUUACACCUGAACAGAAAUAUGCAUGCAAAGACACAACGGCCCACAGUAGAUACAAGUGUGUGCACACAAACACACACCUGUGGUUUCAGGCCAGCACACAGAGAACUCUUUAGUCUCUGAGCUGUCUGUCCCAAUUAAAUUGAGCACUGCUUGUGAAGAGGAACAGACAGAUAGAGAAAACACACACAUGCACACAUACUGUACUGUGAUGCAUACACUGCUGGAGCAGAAGAACUGACUAAGCUGAAUUCCCCCGGCUCCCCUUUCCUAUUUUCCAUGUGCCUCAGCUUAGGAGAACCUGCAUGGGGAAAAAUAAUGCCCACCAUACACACACCACACUUAACUUUCUCCUGACACUCCUUUGAACACAGACGCCCACAUAUACACACUGCUAAUCCGCUCUGUCAAUCGAUACUGCUGCCCUCUGCUUUUUAUUUACCGGUUGUCUUCUUUCCAUGCAGCCUUUCGCUAUUGUGGAUCCACAUGCUUUCCUCAACUUCAGCCUUAUCUCUUCUUCACACCCAAUGUCAUUUAGCUCUCCUCCAGCUUCUCUCCAUCCAGUUGUUUUUUAUGUGGUGCUGUGUGGUUGACCAACAGCCAGGGAGAGACAAGUGCAGGAGCGUAGGCCAAACAUGCCUGCCUCUCCGCCCAAAUUACAUGGGACAGUCCCAAUUACCCUGUGGCCUACCAAAGCAUUUCCUGGGUUAGCGCAAGUGACGCGUGCUCCCCCCUUUGCUGUGGUUACAGGGGGUGUCAUUAGACGCUUGUUUUACUGCAACCCCAAGAACGUGCCCGCCGGCCGCAUCCACGCCACGGGAAGUGCUGCUGCAACAUUCCAAUAACUUCUCCAGGCCUGAUGGAUGACAAAUGAGAGAAGGUUAGGGGGUAACUGUGGAGCAUGUAGUAAAUUUCUGCUGGCCAAGUGGGAGAUGAAAUGGGAACAUUGCAGGGAAAUUAAGAAAUUCUAGACAAGCUGCUGUGUCUUCUGGGAAGUGAAUCAGGGUGGACUAUAAUGUUUUGUGGAAUUCAAAGAGACAUUCUUGGUUAUCCAGUACUAUAAGAGGUGUAUCAUAUAGAUGUAGGCAAUACAAUUUACAUUUUGUGAGAGGUCUGACCCUGACAGCAAUGCUGAACCCUGAAAGAUUGGUCUACAUAGAUUGCAAUAAAUAGUAAUAAUAAUAAUAAUAGCCAGUAUAAAACUGUAAGAGAUACAAGUAAUGAAACUGAGGACAGAUGACUGUGGAAAUGCAGAGGGUUGUGCAACUGGAAGGUCAGUAAUUUGAUCUCUGCCUCCUCAGGUCUAUAUGUCAAUAGAUGUUUUGUAAAGGUAAUGUCUGGAGGUUUGGUUCUAAAAUCCAAUAGUUGCCCUGACAUACAAACAUUAGUUUACUUGCUCUUUGUCCCUCAAUAUGUACUUAUGACUUGUGUUUAUGAAGUGACAGUUACUUGCAUGGUGAAAAACCCAAAAUACUUAAUGUUUAGAGUGAAGAUUACUUUAUUUAGAGUUAAGUGCACUUGCAAUAAUAUGUUUUUACACAGUCUCACUCCCACUGCGCAGUCGAAGAAGUGCGCAUGCGCAGUAACGACAUUCAUUCAGUCUCUCCCGCUCAGCAACACACAAGUCCACCAGCACACAGGCCGGGGCCACUGAGGCCUGCCUUCUAACUCGAGUCGACGUCUUUUGAAGAAUAAUAAGAAAACAGAUGAGACGCCAAUGCGCACCAUUGUACUCCGAGGCCUCCCUGUUCUACUUGGUGAUGACCCCAGUGACUUCUACAACACCUUCUUCUGGAGAGAGACAGUAAAUCCAGGGGGGGAGAGAGGGGAUGAUGACAUGCAGCAAAUGGUCCAGGACGCAUUCAAACCCGGGGUUGUCGUGGUAAGGACACAGCCUCAAUAUGUGAUACAUGUCCAACUGGCUACCAGCUGUUAACAUCGCAACUAAACCCAAAUCAUGGCAGUGAAUAUUUUGUUUACUUUUACAACUGCCACUGACUUCUCUCCAUUGCCAUUGCUCACACUGAGCUAAGCUGCAAUGUUAAGAGCUGAAAGCCAGCUACUGGACGAACAGACACAAAAAAACAAUUAAAGACAAAAUAACUAUUCAUAUGAGGUACUAUGUGUAAAUGAAUGACGUUUUACACACACAUACAGUGUUUCAGUGUCAGUUAAUUAAAAUAUUUUAAAUGCAUCCUCCAUGACCGUAGCACAGACUCCGUGUCUGAUCACCCAGCCCUAGAGACAGGGUUAACUCCCAAAUCGCCGGAGUAUUCCUUUAAUGCACAAGGCUGGAAGGCAGCCUCGGCAGGACAGAUGAAAUGGUGACAUUUUCUAAUUGACAAUUUACAACAUUUCUCUGUUGUAAUGUAAUGUUUUUGUUUGGUUUCAUCACAGGAUUGUGACACUGAUGAGACCUGGGCAGAAGUAUCCGUUGGGGUGAUGACUGCGACUCACUCCAAAUCAGCCCCAUCUUCACCCAGUGUCUACUGCCAUCAUUGUUGAGGGAGGUAUUGUAAUGGAUAAUCUCCAGAACCUACCCGAGGCACUUUGCCUCUUGUUUGGACUGUCAUAUGCGUUACAUCAUGUUGUAUGAUCAAUAUCAUAGCGUUAACUCCCUGAUAUUACAGUAUUAAAGUGUUUUUAUGUCAUUAAAGGCAGUCUUUGAAAAAAUAAAAAACAAUUAAUAUAAUUGAACAUUUAACUGUGUGAUGAUCUUGGUUUAUUAUGUUUAAUUGUUAUUCAGAUUAUUUUAGGAGAUUGGAACCUGUUUUUCAUUCUUUUUAGAUAUUUGAGACACUUAGAUUGCUGAAGUAACUUGUUUUUUAAGGGCAAUCGGUUUGCAUGGUUUUAGCAAGUAUGUCAGAUUGAUAUUCAAGUAAAUAUAACUUAAAAAUGCUAAGUUAGUCCAACAUGGAUAAGUGUGUUAUAUGGACUAAACACGAGUUAAUUUCACAUGCAAUGAUUUAGUAGAUUAAAAUAGUAAUUCUGAGCAGUCUUUACUAAGUCGAAAGUACAUCUAAAAUAAGUUAUCAAGUGCACACUACUUGAUUGUUUUAGUUGCUUAAACUCAUUAAUAAGGGUACUCUAUGAAGAAAACGCUAGUUUAACUUAAAAUACCUAGUUCUCUUCACUUGUUUUUGUAAGUGCAACCAGUUUGCAUGCUUUUCUUAAGUAAUGAUAACUAAUUGGAUUUUACAGUGUGGAGUUUGAUCUCUCUCUCUCUCUCUCUCUCUCCUCUCUCUCUC